Pteropus alecto (black flying fox) is the source of this 118-nucleotide non-coding RNA. The record is from Rfam. NCBI's taxonomy places the organism in Eukaryota, Metazoa, Chordata, Mammalia, Chiroptera, Pteropodidae.
GCCUGGAAACUUUGUCUAGAAAAAUCCUCCUCAUUUACUGAUCUUGGAAACUAAGCAGGGUCGGGCCUGGUUACUACUUGGAUGGGAGACCACCUAGGAAUACCAGGUGCUGUAGGCA